CUCAAUAAACGUUUGUUGAAUUGAGAUGCGCUAAAUUCAACGGGUAUUUAUUGAGCA
Molecule: microRNA precursor, 57 nt
Filed under: Tupaia belangeri chinensis (Chinese tree shrew)
Lineage: Eukaryota; Metazoa; Chordata; Mammalia; Scandentia; Tupaiidae
Description: Tupaia chinensis (Chinese tree shrew) microRNA tch-mir-95 precursor
Gene: tch-mir-95
Source: miRBase by way of RNAcentral